AAGUCGUAACAAGGUUUUAGGUGAACUGCGGAAGGAUCAUUAACACGUAUCCAACGUUAAACCCCCCGUGCACACAGCGACCUGCUCCCCUCAAUUUCGGUCUUUUGGCAAUCCCUGGUAAAUCAUCGCCGAACAGUUUUGAUUCAGGGACAUCCAAAGGGCCGGGGUAGUAGUAUGCAAAAGCGACCUGGUUUCUUUGAAGCAGAAAGUGUGAUGGCGUGAGCCGGAGAACGGACCGAGUGGUAGUUCAAAGGUGCCUUCUGUCGCGCACUGUGGAAAGGAAGACGCUUUACGAAUCACGGUCAGUGACCGGGUUCCUGGUCCUAGACCCCAUAUUCACCACCCGCAAGUAGGGAUACGUCCCUACCAUCAAAUAAAUACUUGAACAACUGUUAACAAUGGAUAUCUUGGUUCUC
RNAcentral lists this unclassified non-coding RNA (416 nucleotides) under fungal sp. RNAcentral describes it as "partial internal transcribed spacer region". The record is from RNAcentral. Lineage: Eukaryota; Fungi.